GCAGGUGAUUUUUAAGGAGGUGUUCCCAGGAGAACCUGGGAAGGGAGCAGGGGAGGCAGAACAGGAAGGGGAAAGAAGCCAGGCAGAGGUGCAACUUCAGGCCAAGUCUGCAGCCUGAUCCUGCAGGAAACUCUGGGAUAAGACAGACCUCCGAGAAUUGUCCCAACCCAAGGAGUUGGGCUUUCAAUCCUGUAUUAGUCUGUCCUUGGUUUGUCUCUGUGGGACAGAUGAAACAGCAGAGAUGAAGAAACCCAGGCUCAAGAAGAUUAAGCAAUUCCCCCAGUGCCCCACUGGGUGUGUGGGGGCAGGUCUGGAGCCCAGGCAAUCUGACUUUAGGGCCCCAGUCUUUGCCCCGCCCUGACUCUAGACGCCUGCCUCACUGACAUGAGGACACUGAUGCCGGGAGCAGCCUGCAGGGCUCACCCAGCUGGUAAGCAGCAAGAAGGAAUUGGGACACAGUUCUUGCCAAACCGCUUUUCCAUCUACGCUUCCAUUUGCUGCAGCCCCACAAGGCUCCAUCUGCCCUCACAGCUCCCCACCUGGGAUAUCCAAAAGGCAUUUGCAUCUUAGCAUGCCCAGGGCUGCACUCCCUGCCUUCCACUGCCCCAGACGACGAUUCCCUCCCAUGCUUCCAGACCUUCGUGUUAAAGUCGACUCAUCCUGCCAGCUUCUCCGACCAGCACAUGAGGAAACUGAGGCUCGAAGGGGAUGGGUAGCAUUUCCAACAUCACACAGCUAGCAAGUGGCUGAGCAAGGAUCUGUCCCGUCUUCGUGGGAACCCCUGUCUGCCAGGGCUUUCCAUUUUCCCCUGGUGCUUCCCUCAGCUACAACCUUCCUGCCGAUUGCGUGGCCCCUCUCUUGCCUAGAGGUGACUGUUUCAAGUCGUGGGACGGACAGACCUGGCCGGAGUCUGCUCUAUUUUGGGGACAGAUGAAAGAGUAAAUUUCAUCUCAAAUAAGAUUUUUAACCCUUGUAAAACUUUUGAAGACUGAGAUUGGCCACUUUGGGAAUCUCUGGAGUUGACCCCGGGGAGGAAAUUCACAAUGAGGUGGGCUCACCACAGUUGGGCUGCCUGAAGACCUCCUUGGAGGAAGCUCCCCUUGGAGGCUCGCCCUCAGCUCCCUUCCAUCCUGACACACCCCCA
This 1144-nucleotide long non-coding RNA is filed under the name Equus caballus (horse). RNAcentral describes it as "lncRNA (ENSECAG00000054176.1)". The record is from RNAcentral. Lineage: Eukaryota; Metazoa; Chordata; Mammalia; Perissodactyla; Equidae.